AACGAACGCUGGCGGCAGGCUUAACACAUGCAAGUCGAACGCCCCGCAAGGGGAGUGGCAGACGGGUGAGUAACGCGUGGGAAUCUACCCAUCCCUACGGAACAACUCCGGGAAACUGGAGCUAAUACCGUAUACGCCCUACGGGGGAAAGAUUUAUCGGGGAUGGAUGAGCCCGCGUUGGAUUAGCUAGUUGGUGGGGUAAAGGCCUACCAAGGCGACGAUCCAUAGCUGGUCUGAGAGGAUGAUCAGCCACAUUGGGACUGAGACACGGCCCAAACUCCUACGGGAGGCAGCAGUGGGGAAUAUUGGACAAUGGGCGCAAGCUUGAUCCAGCCAUGCCGCGUGAGUGAUGAAGGUCUUAGGAUUGUAAAGCUCUUUCACCGGAGAAGAUAAUGACGGUAUCCGGAGAAGAAGCCCCGGCUAGCUACGUGCCAGCCGCCGCGGUAA
RNAcentral lists this ribosomal RNA (447 nucleotides) under uncultured bacterium. Its description in RNAcentral is "partial 16S ribosomal RNA". It matches the Rfam family "Bacterial small subunit ribosomal RNA", at positions 29 to 523 of the family's 1533-position model. The record is from RNAcentral.